Molecule: ribosomal RNA, 651 nt
Filed under: Triticum aestivum (bread wheat)
Lineage: Eukaryota; Viridiplantae; Streptophyta; Magnoliopsida; Poales; Poaceae
Description: partial small subunit ribosomal RNA
Source: RNAcentral
AUGUCGACAAGCUAUGGAAGAGGCUGCACUUUUAAGGGAGCGUGUGGAAGCAACCGAUCGAAAAUGGACAUUGUUAUGAACGAAGUCCUAGAGAUGAAAAAUAUGAUGUUAGCUUCUCAGGCUAAAGAAAAGGAGCAAUUCAGUCCACACUAUGAUUCCAAUUCUGCACAAGACGAGUAUAUUUAUGAUGAAGGCGAAAAUAGUGAGACUGGGUACAUGGCUGCUGAAAAGGAGGAUGGUCACGUGAUGUCAAAUAGACCAAUGGUAGAAAGUCAACCAAAACUCACACAACAGAAGAAGCAAGUGCUGGUCCAACAGAUGAAUCAACAACUAGAUCAUCAAAACACAACCGUCACUCAAAAGACUCCCCAAGUUGGACAGGAUGUCAUAUUGUACUCUAUCUCCCGCCCUUAUAACAUACCAGUGGCGAAGGCCACUAUUCAGUCAAUUGAUAGGACGAAGAUAGUGGCGGGUGCCGAACUUGGAUCUCAAUGUUCUGAAGUCGUAGUUAACAUGGUGAUGAAAAAGGAUGCUAUUUUGCAACGCCCUUAUGGGAAUGUGAGGACCAUGGUGAAUGCUCUCAGGCGAUCUAUUGCAUGGCCUCGUAGAUAUAUUGAGGUUGUUCGUAAAGUUAUGCAGAAGCAACCAUGA